AACGAACGCUGGCGGCAUGCCUAACACAUGCAAGUCGAACGAGACCUUCGGGUCUAGUGGCGCACGGGUGCGUAACGCGUGGGAACCUGCCCUUAGGUUCGGAAUAACUCCCCGAAAGGGGUGCUAAUACCGGAUAAUGUCUUCGGACCAAAGAUUUAUCGCCUUUGGAUGGGCCCGAGUUGGAUUAGCUAAUUGGUAGGGUAAAAGCCUACCAAGGCGACGAUCCAUAGCUGGUCUGAGAGGCUGAUCAGCCACACUGGGACUGAGACACGGCCCAGACUCCUACGGGAGGCAGCAGUGGGGAAUAUUGGACCAUGGGCGAAAGCCUGAUCCAGCAAUGCCGCGUGAGUGAUGAAGGCCUUAGGGUUGUAAAGCUCUUUUACCCGGGAUGAUAAUGACAGUACCGGGAGAAUAAGCUCCGGCUAACUCCGUG
This 433-nucleotide ribosomal RNA is filed under the name uncultured bacterium. RNAcentral's name for it is "partial 16S ribosomal RNA". It matches the Rfam family "Bacterial small subunit ribosomal RNA", at positions 29 to 507 of the family's 1533-position model. The record is from RNAcentral.